AUACGGAGGGACCAAGCGUUGUUCGGAAUCAUUGGGCGUAAAGCGCGUGUAGGCGGCUUGGCAAGUCUGGUGUGAAAGCCCGGGGCUCAACCCCGGAAUUGCAUUCGAAACUUCCAGGCUAGAGUCUCGGAGAGGAGGGCGGAAUUCCCGGUGUAGAGGUGAAAUUCGUAGAUAUCGGGAGGAACACCAGUGGCGAAGGCGGCCCUCUGGACGAUGACUGACGCUGAGACGCGAAAGCGUGGGGAGCAAACAGGAUUAGAAACCCCAGUAGUCC
Molecule: ribosomal RNA, 274 nt
Filed under: uncultured bacterium
Lineage: Bacteria
Description: partial 16S ribosomal RNA
Rfam family: Bacterial small subunit ribosomal RNA
Source: RNAcentral